AUAUACAAGGAUAGAAUGACACGGUAGUGAGGUGUCUUUUCGUUGCUCAAGGCGUUGCGAGCGUUAAGUGGACCAAACUAACCAACCAAACGCUAUCGUGGUCACGAAACGAAAAAAACGCCUGUGCCGAAUAGCACUAAUAGCGAGCUCCUCGAACGCACCUUUAGAGGCGCGUUCGAAAACUCUACUCGGGUACUUCUCCUCUCUCUUUAUCUCCCUCCUGUAUCUUUCUCACUCCAAUGCAGCGAGUGCAUCCGGAUAGAGUUUUCGAACGCACGCUAAUAAGCGCUGCGCUGGCAGCUUAAAAAUUGCAGCUUUAAAAUUGUAAGAUUUUCUGCUGAGCUACCAACGGUUUGCGCUUUUCCAAUAUGUUUACUAAGGUCGUUAAGGUUUACUGUGGUCGUUAUUUUUUUUCAAAAGACUUUCAAUAUGCUAGAGGUAAAUAUGUUGUAGUAAAUAUGUUGAAAAAGCAUAAACCGCUAAGUGUCGUUCAGCAGAAAAUUUACGAAUAAAGUGCUUUACACUGGCAGCACAACACAAAGUACUUUUUUUGCUGAACAUAACUAUUAAUUACAUUCAGCAGAAAAAAACACUCUGAAAGGAAAUUAUACGAAUAUUGACAAAACUGCUAGUAAUGUAGUGCAAAACACUUAGCUCCUAUGUAGCAUGUUUCCGUGUAGCAUAAAGUAAGAAGGAAACUCGAGUUCCCAAUACGCAUUGCAAGGCAGUAACAUGCUGACACGUAUACAUGCGGCUCGUGCAGAAGUACAUGUUGAUUAAGAUUUAACGAAAACCAAAGCUAUGGCGAUGUUGAAUUCGAUUCGCUUGAUGCGGAGCAGACUGUCGACGGCCGUCGUCGCGCGUGCUGAAUGUGCAAGUUUAUCAUCAAACGCAUGACGUCGAUAUCGACUUUGGUCUGCGUGCUUUUUCACGCUUGCAUCAACUAAUUCCCAGGCUGUGGAAAUUUCCGUGAAAAUUCAGACAAAGUAUCUAAAAAGGAACAGAAAAAGGAAGAUGCAUAUCUCGUAUUUUUUUCACGAAGUGACUGCAUGAAGGUGGAUCAAGAAAGAAAAAUAUUCGUCGAUUGCAGUAAACGAUUUUAUUAUUGUUAAAUUUCACUUACGAGUAUUCUUUGGCAGUGAGAAUGAAAAACUAAUAGUUAGAAAUCUUUGUAUUAUCAUUUUCGAUACAACGAAGAUGUAUCCGCAAGUUUGGUUGGAAUCUUAACCUCAAACGAAGAGAUCAUUAUGUACAAUAAUAACAAUGCGUGAUGUUUGCAUGUAUGUAUGUACGUGGUAACUUUCUUUGUUAGAAAAGAUGUCGCAGACAUUCGUAACACGUUUCAUCAGCCUCCUAGAGGACCGUAAAACCGAGGAAAUCGUGGAGCUCUUUGCAGCAGAGAACAAUGAACUCAUUGAGGAUGCUUUAAGUGAGAUUGUGCGCAUCGCCAGUGAAUACCUCACAGAAUUCAACGCACAGUCUGAGCAAGAACUGUUUGAGUGCUGUAAGGCUGUAUUGAACACUAUAGCAGAGGCAUACAAUCCUAUGGAAACUGUAUUGGAGUUCUUGCAGUAUAUAGAGUGUUUAGACAAUGAUGUCAAGUUCUGUGCUCUCUUAGAGCCAUUAGGAAUAUGUAUGAUGAAAGGAAAGAACAAAACCAAUGUUAUCGAAUGGUCUGUCAGUACAAUCAAGUCCUAUAUUGAAGAUUUGCCUAUACCCAGUGAAGUUGAUCAAGAAGCAACCAGUUGCAGAAUCAUAAAUGUAUUGGAAACAAUUACAUUGUUCUUGGGACCGUUGGUUGAAGAAGCAGCAGAUAUGAAUUCUAAGCUUGAAGAAACUUGUCUAUUUGGGGAUCAUCUUCUGAGUCUUACUAUCACUUUGUGUGGAAAACCCUUUUGCUACUUGAGCAGAAGUGUCGUUGAAACAGUUAUGUACAAGAAACUCUUAGAAAAAAUCAUGACAUUAGCAUUGAAUCUUACUGGAGAUAUAUUGUACUAUUUAAACAUAGUUAGCAAUUGUAGUAGAAACAUUACCCAUGACAGAGUGCAAAGUGAAUAUUCUGAAGACAAUAUACGCAGUGUGCUGUUCGAGUUAAGUGAUAACAUGUCAGACUUGGCCUAUGCUAAUUUUUAUUUUCAUAUAAUUACUGAAGAAAUAUUUUGGAAAAGCGUACCACAGGUUUACAGUUCUCACUACAUUCUCGAAACAUGCUUGUACCUUUUCAAAGUUUUGUUCAACAAGAAACAGGAAAUUUUAAUCUCAAAUGGAUUGAUCUUCAUGGAGAACGUGAUAAAGCGUAUUUAUCCUCGCUCUGUAUCUUCAGAUGUGUUGGGACUGAGGAUAUAUAAGGAUCUAUUUCAGCUGAUUAUCAGAAUAAUGAUUUAUUGUGACAUCGAUACAAACCGCAAGAAGGCGAGAUGUGUUUUUCAGGAAUACAUCAAGAUAUUUGACAUAGAAGCUAGGUAUUCAGUGAUUUCGCACUUGUACGAGAUCAACGAGCAUUCCGGCGUGCUGAGCCUGAUCACGGGAAUGUUCAAAGCCUCCAUCAUCGAGUGCCUUGAUUCGACUCCUCGAAAUCCCCAUUUCUUCGGCAAAAAUAUGAAAAUAAUGUUGAAGAAGAUUUGCAACUUGCCACAUGGUAGUUCGUCAGAUCUCGUGGAGAUAUCGGACGAGGUGAUAACUGCGCUCAACUUGUUGCGAUUUUUGUUCAUCCGAGAUAAGCGCAAUGAAACCGGCAUUUGGAAUAUGAGGGACACGAUCCAAAGCGACUAUCUGAAGCCGUUAAGGGACGGAAUCGAUUUGUGCAAGACACAUUGGAGAGUGAAGGCGAAGGACUUGGAACGACAAAGGAAGGGCUAUUCUACGGGCGAAAUAGAAAAGGUCAACGCGAUGGUGACAUUGACCGUCGGCGGUAAACAAUUGCCAGUUAUGCCAAUCGCGGAGAAAAUUGCGUUCUGCAAUCAGGCAAUAAACGGACUGGAUGUGAUGGAAAGCAUUCUUAUCAGAGUCAACGAAUGCGUGAGUGAAUACGGAAUUGAACAAGCGAGCGAAUGUACUACUUGAGUAGAAGUGAAAUCGGCCAUGAAGAUACGGAUAAUUGUACAAACACUUUGCUGAUAAAAUUUUAUCGUUACACGGUUUUAGACGUUUAUGGACUUCUAGGGCUUUGCUGGCCGAUCAGUUUGAAAAUGAUAUUAACAAAAAAGCGGAGUCGCAACACACCGCUCGUGAAGAAAGCGACGAGGAGUAUGAAAAAAAUAUCAAAACAAAGAUACUCG
This is an RNA transcript of Odontomachus brunneus, 3278 nucleotides long. It is a transcript of the gene named ubiquinone biosynthesis protein COQ9, mitochondrial-like, with no coding region annotated. Lineage: Eukaryota; Metazoa; Arthropoda; Insecta; Hymenoptera; Formicidae. The transcript is spliced from 3 exons. The record is from RefSeq and is a predicted model, not a curated record.